Molecule: ribosomal RNA, 422 nt
Filed under: uncultured bacterium
Lineage: Bacteria
Description: bacterial SSU rRNA
Rfam family: Bacterial small subunit ribosomal RNA
Source: RNAcentral
UAGGGAAUAUUGGGCAAUGGUGGAGACACUGACCCAGCCAUGCCGCGUGCAGGAAGAAGGCGCUACGCGUUGUAAACUGCUUUUGUCAGGGAAGAAAACGGUCGUGCGCGACUAACUGACGGUACCUGACGAAUAAGCACCGGCUAACUCCGUGCCAGCAGCCGCGGUAAUACGGAGGGUGCAAGCGUUGUCCGGAUUUAUUGGGUCUAAAGGGUGCGUAGGCGGUUUGUUAAGUCAGUGGUGAAAGACGGCAGCUCAACUGUCGCAGUGCCAUUGAUACUGGCGAACUUGAAUAUCGAUGAGGCUGGCGGAAUUGGUGGUGUAGCGGUGAAAUGCAUAGAUACCACCAGGAACACCGAUUGCGAAGGCAGCUGGCUAAUCGAUGAUUGACGCUGAGGCACGAAAGCGUGGGGAGCAAACAG